This 3103-nucleotide long non-coding RNA is filed under the name Cyanistes caeruleus (blue tit). RNAcentral's name for it is "lncRNA (ENSCCEG00000002916.1)". Lineage: Eukaryota; Metazoa; Chordata; Aves; Passeriformes; Paridae. The record is from RNAcentral.
CCUCCCUUUUUUGGAAGUUAUCUGUAGGCAAGGCAUAUCUUCACAAACCCCCGCAUUCACACCUGAAAACUAAUAGUGUCUUUCUGGCCUUAGAAACUCCAUACUGCUCCACAAGGCUGCUCUGGCAGGGAGCAGUAAUCAGGCUUCUGCCCCAGGUGUGGAUAUUGGGCUAACACAUCUUCCUGGGUGUUUUUCUACUUCUUUGAAGGUCCUAACUCCAUGGGGGACCUCUAGGACAGCUUGCCAAUGGAAGCAGGUGGUCCUAAACACCAUUCCCCUAUUUAUCUUGCAAGAUCCUCUCCUGCAGUGCAGUGUCUGCAUCUCUUGUUUCAGCAGCUUAGUUCUUCCUAUCUAAGGCAACUUUCUCUUUUGUAGCUACCCUCCAAGCAUUUGUCAAGGACACGUUUGUUUUGAAACUUUAAAAGAAUGAAAUCUUUGUUGCUGAAAAGGCUUUGGCACGUGCCACACAAUUUCUUUCCAAGGAUUUUGUACUCUGUGUGGACUUUACUCUUUGUGGACUUUAUUCUUUGUGGCAACAAGACAAUUUUUCAAGACCUUGUUCCUUCACGCCAAAGCCCUGAUUUCACAAAAGCUUCUGGACUUACUCAGGGCAAUAUGUUCUCAGUGACUGAAAAGCCAGGUCCUCACAAGAGGAGAAGAAAAGAGCUGGAAGACAUUCCUGACCAAACCACUGCUCCACCCUUCCCCUGCCUGAAAUACCACAGGAGACAAACCCUGUGAGGGGAAAGAGAAACCCUGAGCAUCCUUGGGCACAAAACCCUCCUUGGGACUGUUCAUUGUAGAGGAUGGGGUUUUCUUGUGUGCAACAUGGAUAGCAAGCUCUGGAAAAGGACUGCCAUGAGUAUUGGCCCGACAGUGAUGCUCAAGGGUCACACAAAGCCUUCAAAAUCUCUGAGGAGCUCUUCCCAUGUCCAUUUACUUGUCGUAUCAUCACACACCACCAAAACAGCAGUGGGGAUGCUGCUCAUCAUCAUGAGAUCAGAGGCAGUCACCAUGGGCCAGUCACUUGGAGUUUGUCAUAACCAGUGCUGGUUGCACCAGGCACUGUCCUAGGAGGUCUCUUGGAAAAGGCUCUCUACUUUAAAAACCCAAUUUAGGCAUAACAAAACCUCAACUAUUUCCAUCUUACACCAGACUGGAUUAAUCCUUGGGGGAAAAAUACUUUGUAUAUAGACAAUAUAUAGAUAUCUUAUCUAUGCCUUCUGUGAGUGACUGCCUAAUUGCCCAGUGGGUACUGCUGGCAAUUUAUAAGCAUAUUAUGCAUGCUUCCCCAGCACUGAGGGCUUGCUUAAUACUGGAGAUCUCUUGAUUGUCAUCAAGAAAUAGAGAUGUCCAAGCUCCUUUUUUUCUGCCAGAGUCCCUCAGCCUCAGCCAACAAAAUAAUAUUUUAUUUGUGGUACGUAAAAAAAAAGACAAGCCGUGCACAGCUAAGGUAACAUUUGCACACAUGUAGAUGUGUCAGAUAGCUAGCUUUGCUUCAUUUUCUCCCACUUUCAGAAAUUAAACUUCUGGGAGGCAUUGGCAACUUGUACAUGACAUUUGACUUAAAAGGAAAAAAACAACACACUCAACAGUGAAUUUGAUUGCAGAAUGAUUAUUGUGUGACUCACCCCUUUUAGUGUAAUAAUGGAGAGUUUAUUAAGUAUGCACUUGGGCUCUGGGCUGCCCACCUACACUCAAUUUCCUCUGACUGUGGAAUGUCCUUUGGCAGCUUUGCAGCUAACCAAUACCCCAGAGUCUGAGGAAAACAUUACAACUUGUACGGUAUUAUUGGUCUAAAGGCUGUGGGUUCGUAUUUCAGCCAGCCAGCACAAGAUUACUUGUAAAACACAACCACACCUUUUAAGAGAAAAGAAUUCAUAGGACCAUGAUUGGAAAAUGUGUGCUCAGAUAAUAGAGAGAUGAAUACAUUAGAACUCCUAGAUAGGUAUCACAUCAAAAGGCAAUUUUUCCCUUUCUGCACCACGACAGUUUGGCUCACAAGUCAAGCAGCACGGCAGCUAAAAGAGGAGCCUGCCUGGAUACAGACCUGUGUUAGGUGACACACAAGUGUAGAGUGAAACACUGCUCCUUAAUUCAGCUACCAGGGUGCUGUGCCCUAAUGCACAUCCACCACCCUACCUCCUGCUACCAGUGAGCCUGUAGAAAUCCCUUGCUGGACAUUCAGCACAUUUCUUGUCAGAGCAAGUGGAGGCUGCUGUAACAGUUUUGUCCUUUACUUCUGGCAUCCUUUAGCUGGAUGUGUAUAAGCCAUCCUGGAGAAGAGACCUGUGCUUAGCCUGCUUAUGGCCCUCACAGUCAUUCAAAGUAAGCGUGACUGUUUGCAAACCAAUCACUUUUGGUUCACUGAGAUUUAUCUCAUACUUUUUAAUCAAUUCAGUCCUCCUACAUACAACUUUUCCUGGAGUCUCUUCUAAGGGAACUGAGGUAGUCCCCUCUGAAACAAGGGCUUCUCCUGUUGUGCCAGUCUGAUCCUGUUCUUAGCCUGUUCCAGACACAGCACAGACAUUAGCUCUAAAACCUGUUUUUCUUCAUCACUUAUGUAGUGAGAAGAAGGGGUAUUCUGCUUGACCUGCUGCAAAGCUAAGCACUUUGUCAAAAACAGCUCCAUACUUACUACCCGUAAGCCCUAAGAAGAUUUCUUCAGCAAUGACACCAGUCCCCUGUGUUUUGUCAGAAUAGAGGACCCAAAAGAGAGGUGGUCUUUAUUUCAGUGGAAGCUGGACUGGCCUGAACUGAGUAGCAUCUAGUAAAAUCCCAAGUAACAUCAUUUCAGAAAGGACACAGUAAAAUAUCAGCAUGAAGGAUCCCAAACUAGGGACAUUGCAGGGACAGAACAACCCAUGUGCAGCAGAGCACUACAGCAGAGUACUUUAGCACUGGGUAGUCUGAAGCAGCAGGCCCGUAACAACCAGCAACCACAAACACAUUCUGUGGCUUAUUGUAUCUUAAGGAAAAACAAAGGUUCACUUCCAACUUUGGGCAUGCUGAAUGAUUCUACAUUUAGAUAGACAUUGGGCCUCUCACCUCCCACUUAAACAUUCAAAAUAAAAGCUCAGUUAUUUAUUUUAUUUUUAAAAUA